AUGAACGCUGGCGGCGUGCCUAAUACAUGCAAGUCGAGCGAACAGACGAGGAGCUUGCUCCUCUGACGUUAGCGGCGGACGGGUGAGUAACACGUGGAUAACCUACCUAUAAGACUGGGAUAACUUCGGGAAACCGGAGCUAAUACCGGAUAAUAUAUUGAACCGCAUGGUUCAAUAGUGAAAGACGGUUUUGCUGUCACUUAUAUAUGGAUCCGCGCCGCAUUAGCUAGUUGGUAAGGUAACGGCUUACCAAGGCAACGAUGCGUAGCCGACCUGAGAGGGUGAUCGGCCACACUGGAACUGAGACACGGUCCAGACUCCUACGGGAGGCAGCAGUAGGGAAUCUUCCGCAAUGGGCGAAAGCUUGACGGAGCAACGCCGCGUGAGUGAUGAAGGUCUUCGGAUCGUAAAACUCUGUUAUUAGGGAAGAACAAAUGUGUAAGUAACUAUGCACGUCUUGACGGUACCUAAUCAGAAAGCCACGGCUAACUACGUA
RNAcentral lists this ribosomal RNA (496 nucleotides) under uncultured bacterium. RNAcentral describes it as "partial 16S ribosomal RNA". It matches the Rfam family "Bacterial small subunit ribosomal RNA", at positions 29 to 507 of the family's 1533-position model. The record is from RNAcentral.